UUGAUCCUCAUGAUCAAUCUUAAUAAUAGUAGUAGUUAGAUAAAAUCAAUUCCAAAAUGCACUUGGAAAAUAGUAUUAUGGUGCUGCAACGCACAAUUCAUCCCAAAGUGCAUUCAAAUAUAUCAAUCAAAGUACUAACAGUCGUACAAAAAUUCCAAACCUAGACUAAACUAUCUAUGAACUCAUAGGUGACGUUUUCUUGUAGAUACACAGAGUGUCUCAAGAGGAGGUUAAGUUCCACAACCAAAUUGCUUAGACCAAAGUCCCUUACAUUAUCAAUUGGAGGCGAACAUAGAAAUUCUUAGAGUUGGAAUACAAUAACCUUUCACAAUAACUGAAGGAGAACAAAGAAACCCCAUAAAGAAACUUGUGCUUGCAAGUCCAAGGAGUGACCUCACAACUGACUCAUUAAAAUCGUAGACUUAAGUGCGUCCACCCAUUUUCUUACAGCAGAGGUCUCCGAAUCUUUCUUCGAUUUCAAUGUGAAGAUCGAUGUAUCAUGCUAAGAUUGUAGUGUGGCUAUUGCUGCUUGAUGUUGCUCUGCUCCUUCUUCUCCUUGAGCUGACGCGCUUCAUUGUAGUUUCUACUUCGCUUGGAAAUGUGGGGUAUGGAAAAUUGAGUUGGAUAGACUAGCCUCUAACCUGCUAUGCUUCCAUUACUGUCAUCUCCAAAUAUCUGAUUCACUACUACUCUUCUUUCGAUUGAAGUAGAAUCUGAAGACUCCUUGCAUUGAAGACGUUCCUGCACUAAUAACUUUGCUACGUUCCCACACUUAUGCCAUUGCUUUAUCCUGUAGUUUGAGAAAACAUUGAAGACUGCACCCAAAAAAGAAAGAAAGAAAGAAACUAGGGGAAAAAUUAUAAUUCGGCAGGUACAAAAUAGCAAGUAUGUAAGGAAGACAUAUAAACUGGACCAAUCUGCAUAUCAGCAGCUUAGCAAUCGAUCAUAGAUCAGUCUGCAGACGGUGAAUGGAUCUGCAGAUCAGUCUUGGACUAUCCUCGCAUGCCAACAGCAGACAAAAAAAAUGCUCCUAGACUAAACUUCUAACGGCAAGCAGCAAAUCCCCUCCAAAUGGACAAUCUAUACCAAGUCCAUAUAUUUUGCAAUCAGCACAUCUCUGAAAGUUAACCAUGCUCACGUCCAGUAGAUGUUUCAUUGACAUAUUUAUCUCGUGGUUGUGUAGCUGUUGUUU
Molecule: long non-coding RNA, 1192 nt
Filed under: Eucalyptus grandis
Lineage: Eukaryota; Viridiplantae; Streptophyta; Magnoliopsida; Myrtales; Myrtaceae
Description: long non-coding RNA (EGRA_LNC006580)
Source: RNAcentral